CCCGCACAAGCGGCGGAGCAUGCGGAUUAAUUCGAUGCAACGCGAAGAACCUUACCAAGGCUUGACAUACACCGGUAACGCCCAGAGAUGGGUGCCCCUUUGUGGUCGGUGUACAGGUGGUGCAUGGUUGUCGUCAGCUCGUGUCGUGAGAUGUUGGGUUAAGUCCCGCAACGAGCGCAACCCUCGUCCUAUGUUGCCAGCGGGUCAUGCCGGGGACUCAUGGGAGACUGCCGGGGUCAACUCGGAGGAAGGUGGGGAUGACGUCAAAUCAUCAUGCCCCUUAUGUCUUGGGCUUCACGCAUGCUACAAUGGCCGGUACAAAGGGCUGCGAUACCGCGAGGUGGAGCGAAUCCCAGAAAGCCGGUCUCAGUUCGGAUUGGGGUCUGCAACUCGACUACUUGAAGUCGGAAUCGCUAGUAAUGGCGGAUCAGCAUGCCGCCGUGAAUACGUUCCCGGGUCUU
This 461-nucleotide ribosomal RNA is filed under the name uncultured Curtobacterium sp. RNAcentral's name for it is "bacterial SSU rRNA". It matches the Rfam family "Bacterial small subunit ribosomal RNA", at positions 920 to 1382 of the family's 1533-position model. Lineage: Bacteria; Bacillati; Actinomycetota; Actinomycetes; Micrococcales; Microbacteriaceae. The record is from RNAcentral.